Molecule: long non-coding RNA, 209 nt
Organism: Alnus glutinosa
Lineage: Eukaryota; Viridiplantae; Streptophyta; Magnoliopsida; Fagales; Betulaceae
Exons: 3
Source: RefSeq, a predicted model, not a curated record
AGUAGAUUGAAGCUUCCAAACUCAAAUCCAACACCGGAAACGUGAUCCUUGCUACAAGAUCUAUGUUUUCACCAUUCAUUUUGAGGUAUUGAAUACUUUGAAGUGUUCUAGACAAUUUCCAAGCGUUGUGUUUCACUUUUGGUGAGAAAUCAAGAGCAUUUUUAGAAGACUCUGCACUGCGAAAAAGAUAGAAGAUUCAAGUUUCCCUG